AAAGCGUGCGCAGGCGGUUAUGUAAGACAGAUGUGAAAUCCCCGGGCUCAACCUGGGAACUGCAUUAGUGACUGCAUAGCUGGAGUACGGCAGAGGGGGAUGGAAUUCCGCGUGUAGCAGUGAAAUGCGUAGAUAUGCGGAGGAACACCGAUGGCGAAGGCAAUCCCCUGGGCCUGUACUGACGCUCAUGCACGAAAGCGUGGGGAGCAAACAGGAUUAGAUACCCUUGU
Molecule: ribosomal RNA, 230 nt
Filed under: uncultured bacterium
Lineage: Bacteria
Description: partial 16S ribosomal RNA
Rfam family: Bacterial small subunit ribosomal RNA
Source: RNAcentral